RNAcentral lists this ribosomal RNA (253 nucleotides) under uncultured bacterium. RNAcentral describes it as "partial 16S ribosomal RNA". It matches the Rfam family "Bacterial small subunit ribosomal RNA", at positions 524 to 776 of the family's 1533-position model. The record is from RNAcentral.
UACGUAGGGGGCAAGCGUUGUCCGGAUUUAUUGGGCGUAAAGAGCGUGUAGGCGGCCAGACAAGUCUGCUGUGAAAACUCGAGGCUCAACCUCGAGCUGUCGGUGGAAACUGUCUGGCUAGAGUCCGGAAGAGGAGAGUGGAAUUCCUGGUGUAGCGGUGAAAUGCGUAGAUAUCUGGAGGAACACCGGUGGCGAAGGCGGCAUCCUGGACCGGUAUUGACGCUGAGGCGCGAAAGCCAGGGGAGCAAACGGG